This is a long non-coding RNA of Photinus pyralis (common eastern firefly), 4134 nucleotides long. RefSeq lists it as uncharacterized. The record is from RefSeq and is a predicted model, not a curated record. NCBI's taxonomy places the organism in Eukaryota, Metazoa, Arthropoda, Insecta, Coleoptera, Lampyridae. The transcript is spliced from 3 exons.
UUGUAACCAACUUGGUGUAUAGCAUUUACUAUCUUUGAACCACUACUUAAACUUGAUAAUUAAAAACAAAUUAUUUUGUUAACGAACUUUUGGAUUGUAUUAAUCAAACUGCGAGGUUUUCUCCGCCGUACUCUUUUUACCCUUGGCGGUUACUUUUGGCUUUACCUACAUUAAUGUACAUCAACUACAGUUCCGGGCUUUCACAAUAUUAAUAGUAACGACCAUUAUUAAACAAACUUUUCACAAGUUCAGUGUCUUAUUUUACGUUCCUUUCCUAGUGUACUUCAGGUCAUAGCGUUGCUUACGAACGUAAAACAGGGCCGCCGGACUCCACGACCGGUUCUGGGGCGAAGCCAUAAUAACUGCUGUCUUCAAAAUCAUCUCCCUUCUCGUACGAUCCCGUGACGCUAAUGAACGCUGGCAUGGAGUAAAACCUAAUCUAAAACACGUUCAUCCCUUCGGUGUUGACGUUUACUACUAACUACCGUAAGAAAAGCGCAGUAAGCUGAACAAAAACAAGGAAAUGUAUGGAUUAUAGUGAGGUGUCGAAGGCGUACUUUCGUCUGAUUGAGCUUCAGUUCUAUGCGGCCUCCAGAAAGUGUGACUCCAUCAAGCCCGAUUUCGAGGGUGGCUCCACCUGAGUGUGUGCCUGCUCGAUACGCUUAUGCGGGCAGAGACUGGAAUUCGGGAGGACCCGACGACGCUGAAGGAGAGGCUGUCUGGACCCAAUUACGACAAGUGAAGGAGUAGGAUGAAGUGUUCUCACCCAUUGUUCGGCAAACAACUUUCCGAGCGUCGAUGUCAGUCGCGGUGAAGCGAGGAAUGGUCGUAAGGCAGUACGACAUAAAAACAGCGUUUCUAAACAGUGACCUUGAGGAAGAGAUAUUCAUGCGACAGCCGCUAGGGUUCGUUGUCAAAAGAGCCGAAGGCAAGGUCUGUUGAUUGAAUCGGAUCCUGUCGGAGGCAUCGCAAGAGGCAAUUUGACUUCAACGACUUGUACGCGAUCUCGACAAGGACGUUCAAACUGUACGUACAGCUUAACGAUGACAAUCAGUCUUGUCUGAAAAUGGUGCUAUACGUUAUUUUUUAUACUCCGCGAAGUACCCGUUUUCGUACAUGGAAUUAUACCUGAAGUUUUAAUGAACACACGGUAUACAUUGAUGGAAUCUACCAGCAUUAUUGAACACUCGGUACUUUUGAGUAAAGCUGUGAGAUUUGGCACACAAACUUUUCAACCCAUUCUCUUAAUGUUGCGACGUGACGCGACCCUCGUAUAUCUGCCACAGGAACCUCAGUCGGAGGGGGGUUGGUUGCCGACCAUUUUUUUCCACUUGUCUAAGCCAUUGAGGAAAGAAUUUUUCAUCUGCGGUAGAAAUGGGAAAUUCCUUAGGUCAGUCACGAGCAUUCUGUUUGCUACUCCGAAUUAGGUUUUCCUCACAGGUCCGUAGUUUUCCUAAUUCGUAAGGUAAAUACCGCAGCACUAUAGAACAGUGGCAUUACCUACUAAAUAACAGGUUCUAAUGACAGUAUGGUUGGAAAACUCGUCAUCCAAAAGAACCAAAUAUAAAAAAUACAAAAUUAAAGUUGAUACAAAGAGCCAUUUUUAGCGCAUUUAUUUGUAAAAAGGAAGCUUUUAAUCUCAGUUUGGUCUUCCGGCUGGCGGGUAGCAAAUGAGGGCCAGGCUCGUAGCCAGGAUAUGGUAGCAGACAACUUUCUGGAUGUGGCUUAAGAAAAAAUUACAUUUUAAUAGGUUUGUAUGAGGAGGAUAAGUGUCUAUUUAACAGUAAGGGUAGAUAAAGUGAAACAAAUCAUUGAGCACUCCAAUGAUAUUUGACAUUCUUACUAAAAAUGAAACGCGAGCACGAAGUAAAAUGAAGUUCAGAACAGAACAAUAUUCUUUCCGUGGAAACAACGGGAGUACCUAAGCUUGCUAUCUUAGACGUAUAAAUUAGACCUACAAAAUUUUCAAAAGUGUUAUAAUGGUUUCUAUGGCUUCUGCCAUAAUAGUUAUUUUAUAUGUAUUAAGGGCAUAAAAGUGAUGUUUAUAUUCUCGAGGGCGACGAGUUAAAAAGCUCGAGGGUAGACAGACCAUUAAUUAAGUAGGUAUAAUAAAGGGGCUCGCUCACUUAGGCGAAGCGCCGUGAAGGGAAGCGUUGCGCUUUUUUCGCCUUUGAAGUUUACAUAUAAUUUAAUGGUAACCCGUUCACUUGGGCGGGCCGAAUCGAAGAAGCGAGUCGUUUGACGCGCGGAUGGUCUAAAGAGCAACUAGGACUCGUUACUCUCCACGCUUCGCAUAAAUGCGCGGGUGACAACCGAAGAGAAUAUUCAAAAUUUUACCGAUCCAUGUCCGAACUCAAAAAACUCACGCCUAAUAAGACGAGGAGUGUACGUGUACCGUGUACCUACAGAGGGGCUGUGUAACUAACAACUUUAGGGAUGGGGCUACAUAAUGUGUGGUCGGUGAUAUCUGGGCGCCAUCCCCAAGCGUGGUUUACUAAUCGAUUGUUUUCAAACGGGUGUCGCUGGAAAGAUCUUGUAAACGCGCAUAACUCCUGCGUGACGGAAUUUUGUUUUAUUCAUACGGGCCAAAUUAACCACCUUUUGAAAAUCGCGCGUCUUCGAGGGGUAGUCAAUUUUGGGGGCUGAAAAGUUAACUUCCGCCGCGAAUUGUUCCACGAAGUUUAAAGUUUCUUAAAGUUCCAAUCGAGGUCUCUCUUUCUCGUGUCACCAGCAGAAGGUCGAGCUAUGAGAAGAGCCCAACAAUUUAGUACCAUUUUGUGGAGGGACAAAAUGCAGGACAAAUCAAAACUAAAGGAGACCAACUGGUGAAUGGAAUAAGCACAGUACAUAGAAAGUCGCAUCGUGCUUAAAGAACAGAAGAAUCUUUCUUUGACGUCCCUAUGGAGUACUGGGUGACCCAUUGUAUAACAAAAAAUGUAAAUAUCUUUCCCGGAAUUGAUAUACCAAGGUGAAUUUGUAUAGCGUUGCUAGGGAUGCUCUAAAAAACUUAAAAGUGAACAAGAAAUUAGCUAUUCUCAGAAUGUGUUGAUUAGAUCGAAUUGAAUAUCGAGUUCUACAAAUAUUUUGAUCUAUGACCAGCACAAAAAGUCUAGUAAACAGUAAUGCAGUUGAAACACCAUAUAUUAAGAGAUACGAAUAUCUGGGGAAAAACUUGCAGUUGCAUGUGCAUCACUCGAAACACCUUUUGUUUUUCCAAAAAUAUUCUCGGUCUGCUAGAUAUUUUUAUUUAUAAAAGGUGUUCGAGUAGUUCUCCGUGUUCCAUAGCUAUUUAAAAAAUGUUGCGUUGCGGCGCGGCGUCUUUGUAUAAUUGGUUGAAAUACAAAUACCCAUACGAUCAUUCAGUGAUCUGCGGAGUGCAGGCCACUUGCAGCCGCAUGCCGAAAGAAUUGAAACUUCAAAUUUUCUGCACUGCACUGGGGCCAGCAAGCACCAAUAGAAACGCAACAUAUGUGACAUGGCGAUCUAAUCGUUGCUAUAACAUGAACCCGCCAAAGACGCUUUCUAUUCUUAUUACAUCCAUUUACUUUCAACAAAAGCAAAGCAGCUGUGGUUGCCAACACACACACACACUAAGCCUUAGUGACUAAGGCAACGACACUGCACUAUUAUCUAUCUCAAUGACGUUUUAGGCACAUAAAUCUGCAAAAAGUGCCAUGAAAAACUGUAAAUGUAGUACAAAUGUAUAUAUUUUUUGUAUAGGUACAAAACUUAUCAAUUACAUACCUAUCUACGAGUACAGUUAUAAUGCUAGUAUGAUAGUAACUUAAAGAAAAGUUUAUAAAAUAAAUAUCUCUAUUUAGUUGUAUAAGAUGUAAAUGAUUUGAUUUAAUAUAGGAAUGUUAAUGUAAAUGAAUAUGACAUGAUUAGGUUUAAAAGAUAGCUAGGUACGAAUUGACAAUUAAUAAAUAGCUCUAAAAUUGACAUUAAAAUAAUUAACAGUUAAUAUACAAUUUAAAUAAUAAUAAUGUAAAGCGAUCUUAAACAUUGAUAAAAUUAAAACUAUCAAUUAUGACAAAUGAACCCAGAGCAACAAUUAUGUCAGAUCCAAUAAGCCUUAGAUUAUUUAUACAAGGACCUCCCACGGUAGAUGAACUACAAUUAAGCUUAACAAAA